CCUACGGGUGGCAGCAGUGGGGGAUAUUGCACAAUGGGGGAAACCCUGAUGCAGCGACGCCGCGUGGACGAAGAAGUAUUUCGGUAUGUAAAGCCCUAUCAGCAGGGAAGAAGGAAUGACGGUACCUGAGUAAGAAGCACCGGCUAAAUACGUGCCAGCAGCCGCGGUAAUACGGAUGGUGCAAGCGUUAUCCGGAUUUACUGGGUGUAAAGGGAGCGCAGGCGGCACGGCAAGCCUGAUGUGAAAGCCCGGGGCGCAACCGCGGGACUGCAUUGGGAACUACCGGGCUGGAGUGCCGGAGAGGGAGGUGGAAUUCCAGGUGUAGCGGUGAAAUGCGUAGAGAUUAGGAGGAAUACCAGUGGCGAAGGCGGCCUACUGGACGGUGACUAACGCUGAGGUGCGAAAGCGUGGGGAGCAAACAGGAUUAGAUACCCCUGUAGUC
RNAcentral lists this ribosomal RNA (442 nucleotides) under uncultured bacterium. RNAcentral's name for it is "partial 16S ribosomal RNA". It matches the Rfam family "Bacterial small subunit ribosomal RNA", at positions 338 to 795 of the family's 1533-position model. The record is from RNAcentral.